GAUGAACGCUGGCGGCGUGCCUAAUACAUGCAAGUCGAGCGAACGGACGAGAAGCUUGCUUCUCUGAUGUUAGCGGCGGACGGGUGAGUAACACGUGGAUAACCUACCUAUAAGACUGGGAUAACUUCGGGAAACCGGAGCUAAUACCGGAUAAUAUUUUGAACCGCAUGGUUCAAAAGUGAAAGACGGUCUUGCUGUCACUUAUAGAUGGAUCCGCGCUGCAUUAGCUAGUUGGUAAGGUAACGGCUUACCAAGGCAACGAUGCAUAGCCGACGUGAGAGGGUGAUCGGCCACCCUGGAACUGAGACACGGUCCAGACGCCUACGGGAGGCAGCAGUAGGGAAUCUUCCGCAAUGGGCGAAAGCCUGACGGAGCAACGCCGCGUGAGUGAUGAAGGUCUUCGGAUCGUAAAACUCUGUUAUUAGGGAAGAACAUAUGUGUAAGUAACUGUGCACAUCUUGACGGUACCUAAUCAGAAAGCCACGGCUAACUACGUG
This 497-nucleotide ribosomal RNA is filed under the name uncultured bacterium. Its description in RNAcentral is "partial 16S ribosomal RNA". It matches the Rfam family "Bacterial small subunit ribosomal RNA", at positions 28 to 507 of the family's 1533-position model. The record is from RNAcentral.